Molecule: ribosomal RNA, 492 nt
Filed under: uncultured bacterium
Lineage: Bacteria
Description: partial 16S ribosomal RNA
Rfam family: Bacterial small subunit ribosomal RNA
Source: RNAcentral
AGUGAACGCUGGCGGUAGGCCUAACACAUGCAAGUCGAACGGCAGCACAGUAAGAGCUUGCUCUUACGGGUGGCGAGUGGCGGACGGGUGAGGAAUACAUCGGAAUCUACUUUUUCGUGGGGGAUAACGUAGGGAAACUUACGCUAAUACCGCAUACGACCUACGGGUGAAAGCAGGGGAUCUUCGGACCUUGCGCGAUUGAAUGAGCCGAUGUCGGAUUAGCUAGUUGGCGGGGUAAUGGCCCACCAAGGUGACGAUCCGUAGCUGGUCUGAGAGGAUGAUCGGCCACACUGGAACGGAGACACGGUCCAGACUCCUACGGGAGGCAGCAGUGGGGAAUAGUGGACAAUGGGCGCAAGCCUUAUCCAGCCAUACCGCGUGGGUGAAGAAGGCCUUCGGGUUGUAAAGCCCUUUUGUUGGGAAAGAAAAGCAGCAGGUUAAUACCCCGCUGUUCUGACGGUACCCAAAGAAUAAGCACCGGCUAACUUCGUG